CACGUAGGGUGCGAGCGUUGUCCGGAAUUAUUGGGCGUAAAGAGCUCGUAGGCGGUGUGUCGCGUCGGCCGUGAAAACCUGCAGCUUAACUGUGGGCGUGCGGUCGAUACGGGCAUCACUGGAGUUCGGCAGGGGAGACUGGAGUUCCUGGUGUAGCGGUGAAAUGCGCAGAUAUCAGGAGGAACACCGGUGGCGAAGGCGGGUCUCUGGGCCGAUACUGACGCUGAGGAGCGAAAGCGUGGGGAGCGAACAGG
RNAcentral lists this ribosomal RNA (254 nucleotides) under uncultured bacterium. RNAcentral's name for it is "partial 16S ribosomal RNA". It matches the Rfam family "Bacterial small subunit ribosomal RNA", at positions 524 to 776 of the family's 1533-position model. The record is from RNAcentral.